Molecule: long non-coding RNA, 334 nt
Organism: Oncorhynchus gorbuscha (pink salmon)
Lineage: Eukaryota; Metazoa; Chordata; Actinopteri; Salmoniformes; Salmonidae
Exons: 3
Source: RefSeq, a predicted model, not a curated record
CUCUAGGGUAGUACCUCCCUGAAUGGCAAUGAAUGAUCGAUCCCAUUACAUGUUCCAAGUUGCAGGUACAGCUGGGGCAGGGGCUGGAGCACACAGUCUCGUGCAUUCCUGACGUCACCAGGCAUAUGUUACAUACUGUGAAGAGACCAGAAUUGUCAGCAGUUGAGUGGAAGAAGCUGAAGCACUAUAGCAUUUCCUAGUUGCCACUGGUGUUUACUGGCAAACGGACGUCAUUUGCAUUGGAACUUCAAACACGGAGUGUUCUAAUUUAGUGCCUAGGCUACGUUAUAAAAACGACUUCUGUGGCCGAGAGCUCUUUUUGGAGGGAACAUGG